This 548-nucleotide long non-coding RNA is filed under the name Rattus norvegicus (Norway rat). Its description in RNAcentral is "long non-coding RNA NONRATT002391". The record is from RNAcentral. Lineage: Eukaryota; Metazoa; Chordata; Mammalia; Rodentia; Muridae.
GCAGAACGGGACACAUUCCUGUGGGCGAGACUCAAAUGAAACAUGGAAGUGAAAGGACACAGGGAGUUAAGGUGACAGACAGGAAGCCGUAGAAAGCUAAAGGAAGACCGAGGGGACCCGAAGGAUGAAGAAGACGAGAUUAAGGAACCCGCAGCUGGCGAAGCCCGCCCUUCAGCCUUUACAAGGACUCGGGAGCUGUCCGUUCAGCACCCCGCUGCCUGCCUGGCGCAGAGACCCAGGGUCUGGUCGGUCUUACGUGGUCCCCCGGCAGAAGGACACGUCCCAAGGUUCCCUACCCCCGCCCCCGUGUCAAGCUGCUUCGUGCGGUGUCCUCGGGCUCCACUUGGCCGUCUCUGUAUCUCUGAGGACUUUUACUGUGUGUGUCAUUCCAGGCCAGCCCCAGCCUCUUUGCCAUCUCCCUGUCUCUGAGAGACUGACUAAUCACCCUGUCCUGGGGCUGGAUGCAGUUGAAGUGGCUACCAUCGCGGAUUUUUCUGUUCGCGCCCCCUCCCUCUUUGUGCUCUUCUCUAAUUUUGAACCCACAGAAU